GUAGGGAAUCUUCCGCAAUGGACGAAAGUCUGACGGAGCAACGCCGCGUGAGUGAUGAAGGUUUUCGGAUCGUAAAGCUCUGUUGCCAGGGAAGAACGCUUGGGAGAGUAACUGCUCUCAAGGUGACGGUACCUGAGAAGAAAGCCCCGGCUAACUACGUGCCAGCAGCCGCGGUAAUACGUAGGGGGCAAGCGUUGUCCGGAAUUAUUGGGCGUAAAGCGCGCGCAGGCGGUCAAUUAAGUCUGGUGUUUAAGGCUGGGGCUCAACCCCAGUUCGCACUGGAAACUGGUUGACUUGAGUGCAGAAGAGGAAAGUGGAAUUCCACGUGUAGCGGUGAAAUGCGUAGAGAUGUGGAGGAACACCAGUGGCGAAGGCGACUUUCUGGGCUGUAACUGACGCUGAGGCGCGAAAGCGUGGGGAGCAAACAGGAUUAGAAACCCGAGUAGUCC
RNAcentral lists this ribosomal RNA (449 nucleotides) under uncultured bacterium. RNAcentral's name for it is "bacterial SSU rRNA". It matches the Rfam family "Bacterial small subunit ribosomal RNA", at positions 354 to 796 of the family's 1533-position model. The record is from RNAcentral.